This 460-nucleotide ribosomal RNA is filed under the name uncultured bacterium. RNAcentral describes it as "partial 16S ribosomal RNA". It matches the Rfam family "Bacterial small subunit ribosomal RNA", at positions 338 to 795 of the family's 1533-position model. The record is from RNAcentral.
CCUACGGGUGGCAGCAGUGAGGAAUAUUGGUCAAUGGGCGCGAGCCUGAACCAGCCAAGCAGCGUGAAGGAAGACGGCCCUAUGGGUUGUAAACUUCUUUUGUAGGGGAAUAAAGUCCAGGACGAAUACCGCAUUGCGUGUAUCUGAUGAAAAAGCAUCGGCUAACUCCGUGCCAGCAGCCGCGGUAAUACGGAGGAUGCGAGCGUUAUCCGGGUUUAUUGGGUUUAAAGGGUUCGUAGGUGGGUUUGUAAGUCAGUCGUGAAAGUUUGCGGCUCAACCCUAUAAUUGCCGUUGAUACUGGCAGACUUGAGUUGACGAGAGGUACGCGGAAUUCGCGGUGUAGCGGUGAAAUGCAUAGAUAUCGCGCAGAACUCCGAUUGCGAAGGCAGCCUACUGGACCGAGACUGACGCUGAUGCUCGAAAGCGUGGGGAUCAAACAGGAUUAGAUACCCUUGUAGUC